Molecule: ribosomal RNA, 363 nt
Filed under: uncultured eukaryote
Lineage: Eukaryota
Description: partial 18S ribosomal RNA
Rfam family: Eukaryotic small subunit ribosomal RNA
Source: RNAcentral
CAAUAGCGUAUACUAAUGUUGUUGCAGUUAAAAAGCUCGUAGUUGAACUUCUGGUAGGAGUGUCCCGGCCUUUUUGUUUUUACAAAUUGUAUGCUGUGUGACAUCUCUGGCCAUCCUUCUUCUUUGUUUAAAGAAGAUCUUUCACUGUAAAAAAAUUAGGGUGUUCAAAGCAAAAGUUUCUUUGGAAUAUAUUAGUAUGGGAUGAUAAGAUAGGCUCUAGAUACUAUUUUGUUGGUUUGCACAUUUAGAGAAUGAUUAACAGGGACAGUUGGGGGUAUUCGUAUUUACAUGUCAGAGGUGAAAUUCUUGGAUUUUGGAAAGACGAACUACUGCGAAAGCAUUUACCAAGGAUGUUUUCAUUAA